Molecule: long non-coding RNA, 1993 nt
Filed under: Nicotiana benthamiana
Lineage: Eukaryota; Viridiplantae; Streptophyta; Magnoliopsida; Solanales; Solanaceae
Description: long non-coding RNA (NBEN_LNC040665)
Source: RNAcentral
AAGAUAAUUUUGUUAAAACCGCGUCUAAAGUGGUUAACGCGUUAUUAUCUUUUGGGAAGGCUAUAUUUCAAACUAUUGGUUUUAGUUUCAACUGUAUUGCACGAUUUCUUCUAUAAACAGAUUUGAAAAUGAAUUUGACUAUAGCUAACGUGAACUUUUUCCAAUUAAUCAAACUGGUGCUUUACAACCACAUACAUACCUAGAUUGUUUCAGUUAAAUAGAGUCAUACUCAGCAUUUAUCAGUCCACCUAAUAGGACAAAACAGAGAUCUAAUCCAGUAGCCAAAUUGCACAAUUGCCAACUCCAGACUCAAUUACACACUUGACCAAAUAACACGAAGCUAGGCUAGGGAAUUACGCUAAGUUCAACAUGAUUGCUAAUACUACUUUAAUAUGUCACUAGUUACCAACCCACAAUCACAUAAGUCUAGAUGAAAGUCCACUGUUUCGAUUUACAAUAUAGAAGCAGUCAAAUUAUACAGGUUUCAGUAACAUAAUUGAACAUCAAAAGACAACACUCAAGCUCAAUUCGACUUCCUUUUCAUUUCAUUCUCUCAACUUUACAUCUCGAUGAAGUAGGAAGUGUACCUGAGAUUAAAAUGCAAAAGUGAAGUGGAGAUGAAGGUCAGUCAAGGCAGUAGUGAAUCACAACUUAGAGUCAACACAGCAAAUAGAUUUCAAACCCAGAAAAUACACAGGAACCAACAGCAAACAGUCAGAUAUCACUAGCAGCAAUGAAAAUCACACGACUGAACCCCCCAACGUAUUCGAGAUUACCCAAAACCCCUUGAAAUUGAACUAAAUAAGGCUUGGCUGAUCAGGAACUCGACCUAGAGCUAAUUUAAGCUCGAUUUUCAUAUUUUUUUAAAAUGGAACAGUACACUAUGGAAAAUUUAACUGUUUUAUUUUGGUUUUCUCUUUUCUGAUUUUUUUGAAUUUUUUGGUUUGGUUUUUGAAAUUGAAAUGAUGCUUCAGAUCUUAAAACUACUAAUGAAAGGGAAUUUUCUGGGGAAAUUUUGAGCUUAAAAAUAGGCAAACAAAACAGCUCCUUAUUUUCCUUUAGCCCCUUAUGAAAUUUCACUCUAGUCCCUUAGUUCUUUUACUUACUCAGCAAGCUAACACACAUGUUUAUUCAUAUUCCAUUAUGACCCCCCAAUUUAGAAGCUUCUAAGGUAUUCUAGCCUAAAUUCCUUAUGUGUAUUUCCUAUCAUACCCUUAACCUUUCCCUGAACUAUCUCAUGUUUUACCAGGUUAAUCAAAGAUCAUUAUCAACUUGAAGGCAAGUACACUUAAACCAUACUGAUAAAAACUAAUGUAAAGGCUAAAUUAACCAAAAACACCAAUUAUAAUUCAAUAAACAAACUAAAACCCUAAUAGAACAAACAAGAACCAGAAUCAACCUAAUAAACUAAUUAACAAAACUAAUUUCGAAAUUCCAGAAUUCAAUCACGCAGGAAACAAAAAUAAAGAUUGCAUCACAUGUAAAAACAGACAACAAGAAAAAUGAAAUGAAAACUAGAGCAGUCCCUGACGAAAAAGAACUCCGGCCAAUCACUACUUCAAAACUCGGCCAAUUCUGAUGACUCUUGGCUCUAAAUGACACUCAAAUCCUCACGAGGGAGGCCCAGGGAUCCUUUGACGUCAAUUGCAUGUGCUUUGGUCGUUUUAGGGGAUUGGCCGGAGAAGUAAAAAUUAAUAUUCGAGCCCGUCCGGAUACAUUCGAGAAAAAAGACCAUGAGGGUUGGGUAGAGGAGACUCGGGCGGUUCCAGGGUGUUAUUUUGGGGCCGUUUGGCAUAACCGACGUCAUGGCCAGAAAAUCUUCAACGAGAUAUUCGAGGGAAGGCACUAGCAGGGAUGGAAAGAGGGUGAUCUAGGGAACUUAUGGUGUAAAUUUGGGACGGGUUGGCAUAGGUUUCAGUCGAUGCCGGCGGUGGUUCCGGCGAGGUUCAGAGAAUCUGUACGAGGAAGAAAGGAACGGUCUUUUGGAUUUAUU